GAGUUUGAUCCUGGCUCAGAAUCAACGCUGGCGGCGCGCUUAACACAUGCAAGUCGCACGAGAAAGUGGAGCAAUCCAUGAGUACAGUGGCGUACGGGUGAGUAACACGUGGAUGAUCUACCUCUUAGUGGGGAAUAACCCUGGGAAACCGGGGCUAAUACCGCAUAAGCUCGAGAGAGGAAAGCAGCAAUGCGCUGAGAGAGGAGUCCGCGGCCGAUUAGCUAGUUGGCAGGUUAAGAGCCUACCAAGGCAAAGAUCGGUAGCCGGCCUGAGAGGGCACACGGCCACACUGGCACUGAAACACGGGCCAGACUCCUACGGGAGGCAGCAGUGGGGAAUCUUGCACAAUGCGGGAAACCCUGAUGCAGCGACGCCGCGUGAGCGAUGAAGCCCUUCGGGGUGUAAAGCUCUUUCGGCAGGGAAGAUGAUGACGGUACCUGCAGAAGCAGCUGCGGCUAACUACGUGCCAGCUGCCGCGGUAAUACGUAGGCAGCGAGCGUUGUUCGAAGUUACUGGGCGCAAGGGUUUUACUAAGCGGUUGUUUAAGUUUGGUGUGAAAUCUCCCGGCUCAACUGGGAGGGUGCGCCGAAUACUGAAUGACUCGAGUGCGGGAGAGGAAAGUGGAAUUCCUGGUGUAGCGGUGACAUGCGUAGAUAUCAGGAGGAACACCGGUAGUGUAGACGGCUUUCUGGACCGUAACUGACGCUGAGACACGAAAGCGUGGGUAGCAAACAGGAUUAGAUACCCUGGUAGUCCACGCCCUAAACGAUGCAUAUUUGGUGUGGGCAGUUCAUUCUGUCGGUGCCGGAGCUAACGC
This 817-nucleotide ribosomal RNA is filed under the name uncultured bacterium. RNAcentral's name for it is "bacterial SSU rRNA". It matches the Rfam family "Bacterial small subunit ribosomal RNA", at positions 9 to 858 of the family's 1533-position model. The record is from RNAcentral.